GUUACAUGUAGUACUACAGAUAGCAAUACCUGCAUUGAUAAUAUUUAUACCAACUUACCUGAAUCACAAGUAACCUUUCAAGUUUUAGAAACAUAUUUUUCAGACCAUAAAGCAAUCUGUGCUUUGCUAAACUGCUUUUGAUAUGAUUUGCCUUUGGUAAAUGCAAAUUUAAUAGCUAUGAUUUAAUAUAAUGCUUGCUGUAAUUGUCUGAUUUGAUCAUGUUUUUUAUAUAUUCAACAGCAUGUAAUUUCAAUUGUGAUAAAACAACCUUGGCUUGUCUACAACAUCAUGCAGUCUGUAUGAAAGUAAACGACCAGUAUGCAAUAAUGUCUAAUAACCUCUCUCCAAUCACAUUUUAUUCACAAAUAAGUGAUAAGACUGCAAAACUAAAAAAA
Exaiptasia diaphana is the source of this 395-nucleotide long non-coding RNA. RefSeq lists it as uncharacterized. The record is from RefSeq and is a predicted model, not a curated record. Lineage: Eukaryota; Metazoa; Cnidaria; Anthozoa; Actiniaria; Aiptasiidae. The transcript has 2 exons.